Homo sapiens (human) is the source of this 574-nucleotide long non-coding RNA. NCBI's taxonomy places the organism in Eukaryota, Metazoa, Chordata, Mammalia, Primates, Hominidae. The record is from Ensembl.
AUACCUACUAGGACGAAAAGCCUAAGUCACAUUGCUGCUGGCUGGGCACCAAAUGCUAACUAACUUCAUCUUCCAGGGACUGGACCUAUUGCUGCACAAUUUUCUCAGCCUCCACUAGCUGAAAGACUGCACAGCCUCUCUGUUAGGUCAGAAUUAGCUCAUGACAUGGGCAUGCUGAGCCAGAAAGUUGUAAAAGAAAGGGCCAGUAGGGCAAGACUCCUGGACUACUCAGCAAACAGCCAGUCGCUCAGUCUAGACCCUGCAAAAUUGAAGAAGGAGCAGACUAGAAAUACAAUGGAGACCAUGUCUGUAAAUGUCUUUUAUGCCAUGUUUGGAUUGCUCAAAAAGAAGUAAUCUCUAGAGACCUGAAUCUUCUAAAUAGUACCACUCCUAGAAGAGGAGUCUUCAUUUUUCCCCUCAUAGAUAUGGCCAUGGAAGGCAAUGAAUGAGAAGCUCUUCCCUCCUAAGAGCAAGAAAACAAAGAUCAAAAAUCUCACUCCAAUACCCAGGCCAUGAGUCUUUGUUAUUCCAGCUGGCAUGAUGUUUGAUACAUACCACUUCCUACUGAUCUUGU